Molecule: ribosomal RNA, 445 nt
Filed under: uncultured bacterium
Lineage: Bacteria
Description: bacterial SSU rRNA
Rfam family: Bacterial small subunit ribosomal RNA
Source: RNAcentral
ACUCCUACGGGAGGCAGCAGUGGGGAAUCUUAGACAAUGGGCGAAAGCCUGAUCUAGCGAUGCCGCGUGAGUGACGAAGGCCUUAGGUCGUAAAGCUCUUUCGCCAGGGAUGAUAAUGACAGUACCUGGUAAAGAAACCCCGGCUAACUCCGUGCCAGCAGCCGCGGUAAUACGGAGGGGUUAGCGUUGUUCGGAAUUACUGGGGCGUAAAGCGCACGUAGGCGGAUUGGAAAGUUGGGGUGAAAUCCCGGGGCUCAACCCCGGAACUGCCUCCAAACUAUCAGUCUAGAGUUCGAGAGAGGUGAGUGGAAUUCCGAGUGUAGAGGUGAAAUUCGUAGAUAUUCGGAGGAACACCAGUGGCGAAGGCGGCUCACUGGCUCGAUACUGACGCUGAGGUGCGAAAGUGUGGGGAGCAAACAGGAUUAGAUACCCUGGUAGGAUAGCG